RNAcentral lists this small nuclear RNA (105 nucleotides) under Octopus sinensis (East Asian common octopus). Lineage: Eukaryota; Metazoa; Mollusca; Cephalopoda; Octopoda; Octopodidae. The record is from RNAcentral.
UAUUGCUUCGGCAAUACAUAUAAUGAAAUUGUAACGAUACAGAGAAGAUUAGUAUGGCCCCUGCGCAAGGAUGACACGCAAAUUCGUGAAGCGUUCCAUAUUUCU